CUUCAUUCCACUUUCGAUAGAAUAGUCAACCAGAUUUGGAAAUAUUUGAUCUUCGAGGACAACGAAACGUCAAUAUUGGUGAUUAACAAUAUUUGAAUACACAAGUUUCUACCUUUCUUAGUAAGAAUACUGGCUGCAAAAAUCGAUCAAGGCCUUCUGCACUCUGGUCUAAUCGAAAAUUGAAACAAUGUUAGGUGCCUUGAAAAAUUGGAUUUCCCGGGCUGUUUAUCGAUACGAAGUCACUACGGCGUUGUACAUGUUGGAACCCUGGGAGAAAGUUCUUUUCAAUUCUACUGCAGUGUUAUUGAUUGGCAUGUCAACAUACUCCACCUAUGUUUACUUACCACCAUUUAUGAACAAUGUUUUGUUUGCUGUUGGCUUCUCAUAAGAGCAAUGAAGAAAUCACUUUGGGGAACAUUUUCAUUUAUGUGUUUACUGUAUUAAAUCAAUGAUUAUAAUUCUUUGAUUCAAAAA
Xenia sp. Carnegie-2017 is the source of this 474-nucleotide long non-coding RNA. RefSeq lists it as uncharacterized. The transcript is spliced from 2 exons. NCBI's taxonomy places the organism in Eukaryota, Metazoa, Cnidaria, Anthozoa, Malacalcyonacea, Xeniidae. The record is from RefSeq and is a predicted model, not a curated record.